RNAcentral lists this ribosomal RNA (271 nucleotides) under uncultured bacterium. RNAcentral describes it as "partial 16S ribosomal RNA". It matches the Rfam family "Bacterial small subunit ribosomal RNA", at positions 524 to 794 of the family's 1533-position model. The record is from RNAcentral.
UACAGAGGGUGCAAGCGUUAAUCGGAAUUACUGGGCGUAAAGGGUGUGUAGGUGGUAAAGUAAGUUAGGUGUGAAAUCCUCGGGCUUAACCUGAGAAUUGCGCUUAAGACUAUUUUGCUAGAGUUCUGUAGAGGAUAGUGGAAUUUCCAGUGUAGCGGUGAAAUGCGUAGAUAUUGGAAGGAACACCAGUGGCGAAGGCGACUAUCUGGACAGAUACUGACACUGAGACACGAAAGCGUGGGUAGCAAACAGGAUUAGAUACCCUGGUAGU